CCUACGGGAGGCAGCAGUGAGGAAUAUUGGUCAAUGGGCGGGAGCCUGAACCAGCCAAGUCGCGUGAGGGAAGACGGCCCUACGGGUUGUAAACCUCUUUUGUCGGGGAGCAAAGCGAGUCACGUGUGACUCAUUGAGAGUACCCGAAGAAAAAGCAUCGGCUAACUCCGUGCCAGCAGCCGCGGUAAUACGGAGGAUGCGAGCGUUAUCCGGAUUUAUUGGGUUUAAAGGGUGCGCAGGCGGGGGUGCAAGUCAGCGGUCAAAUUGCGGGGCUCAACCCCGACAAGCCGUUGAAACUGGCUUGCUAGAGUGGGCGAGAAGUAUGCGGAAUGCGUGGUGUAGCGGUGAAAUGCAUAGAUAUCACGCAGAACUCCGAUUGCGAAGGCAGCAUACCGGCGCCCAACUGACGCUCAGGCACGAAAGCGUGGGUAUCGAACAGGAUUAGAUACCCUAGUAGUC
RNAcentral lists this ribosomal RNA (459 nucleotides) under uncultured bacterium. RNAcentral describes it as "partial 16S ribosomal RNA". It matches the Rfam family "Bacterial small subunit ribosomal RNA", at positions 338 to 795 of the family's 1533-position model. The record is from RNAcentral.